GAUGAACGCUAGCGGCAGGCCUAAUACAUGCAAGUCGAACGGAAUAUGAUUUUCGGAUUAUAUUUAGUGGCGCACGGGUGAGUAACACGUACAUAACUUACCCUCAAGAGGGGGAUAGCCUCGGGAAACUGAGCGUAAUACCCCAUAGUAUUAUUGAACGGCAUCGUUUGAUAAUUAAAGCUACGGCGCUUGAGGAUAGAUGUGCGUCUGAUUAGCUAGUUGGUAAGGUAACGGCUUACCAAGGCGACGAUCAGUAGGGGGCGUGAGAGCGUGGCCCCCCACACGGGUACGUGAGACACGGACCCGACUCCUACGGGAGGCAGCAGUAAGGAAUAUUGGUC
Molecule: ribosomal RNA, 341 nt
Filed under: uncultured bacterium
Lineage: Bacteria
Description: bacterial SSU rRNA
Rfam family: Bacterial small subunit ribosomal RNA
Source: RNAcentral